AGAGUUUGAUCAUGGCUCAGAUUGAACGCUGGCGGCAGGCCUAACACAUGCAAGUCGAGCGGAUGAGAGGAGCUUGCUCCUUGAUUCAGCGGCGGACGGGUGAGUAAUGCCUAGGAAUCUGCCUAUUAGUGGGGGACAACGUUUCGAAAGGAACGCUAAUACCGCAUACGUCCUACGGGAGAAAGCAGGGGACCUUCGGGCCUUGCGCUAAUAGAUGAGCCUAGGUCGGAUUAGCUAGUUGGUGAGGUAAUGGCUCACCAAGGCGACGAUCCGUAACUGGUCUGAGAGGAUGAUCAGUCACACUGGAACUGAGACACGGUCCAGACUCCUACGGGAGGCGGCAGUGGGGAAUAUUGGACAAUGGGCGAAAGCCUGAUCCAGCCAUGCCGCGUGUGUGAAGAAGGUCUUCGGAUUGUAAAGCACUUUAAGUUGGGAGGAAGGGUUGUAGAUUAAUACUCUGCAAUUUUGACGUUACCGACAGAAUAAGCACCGGCUAACUCUGUGCCAGCAGCCGCGGUAAUACAGAGGGUGCAAGCGUUAAUCGGAAUUACUGGGCGUAAAGCGCGCGUAGGUGGUUCGUUAAGUUGGAUGUGAAAUCCCCGGGCUCAACCUGGGAACUGCAUUCAAAACUGUCGAGCUAGAGUAUGGUAGAGGGUGGUGGAAUUUCCUGUGUAGCGGUGAAAUGCGUAGAUAUAGGAAGGAACACCAGUGGCGAAGGCGACCACCUGGACUGAUACUGACACUGAGGUGCGAAAGCGUGGGGAGCGAACAGGAUUAGAUACCCUGGUAGUCCACGCCGUAAACGAUGUCGACUAGCCGUUGGGAGCCUUGAGCUCUUAGUGGCGCAGCUAACGCAUUAAGUCGACCGCCUGGGGAGUACGGCCGCAAGGUUAAAACUCAAAUGAAUUGACGGGGGCCCGCACAAGCGGUGGAGCAUGUGGUUUAAUUCGAAGCAACGCGAAGAACCUUACCUGGCCUUGACAUGCUGAGAACUUUCCAGAGAUGGAUUGGUGCCUUCGGGAACUCAGACACAGGUGCUGCAUGGCUGUCGUCAGCUCGUGUCGUGAGAUGUUGGGUUAAGUCCCGUAACGAGCGCAACCCUUGUCCUUAGUUACCAGCACGUUAUGGUGGGCACUCUAAGGAGACUGCCGGUGACAAACCGGAGGAAGGUGGGGAUGACGUCAAGUCAUCAUGGCCCUUACGGCCAGGGCUACACACGUGCUACAAUGGUCGGUACAAAGGGUUGCCAAGCCGCGAGGUGGAGCUAAUCCCAUAAAACCGAUCGUAGUCCGGAUCGCAGUCUGCAACUCGACUGCGUGAAGUCGGAAUCGCUAGUAAUCGUGAAUCAGAAUGUCACGGUGAAUACGUUCCCGGGCCUUGUACACACCGCCCGUCACACCAUGGGAGUGGGUUGCACCAGAAGUAGCUAGUCUAACCUUCGGGAGGACGGUUACCACGGUGUGAUUCAUGACUGGGGUGAAGUCGUAACAAGGUA
This 1495-nucleotide ribosomal RNA is filed under the name metagenome. RNAcentral's name for it is "bacterial SSU rRNA". It matches the Rfam family "Bacterial small subunit ribosomal RNA". The record is from RNAcentral.